CAUUUAGUAAUUUAGACUUUGAAGCCAUUGGAAGAAUCUUAAUUAAACCUUUUUUAGGCAUGAAAAAAUAGCUAUUACAGUGCUUGCAAAACCUAUCUUUCGCUUGGCUCAUGCGUUAUUAGGAUGAUGCUUAAAUUAUUAUUUUUUAAUGUAACUGUGUCUCCUUUAUUAAGAAAUGUUGACUAGACAAGUGAUCUGUCCAAAUUUAAAACUAGAAAUAGAACCUUUAUCUCCCACCCUGUCUGAAUUAUUCUUUCCAUAUGUAGCUGCUUAGUUGUGUCUUUACCACUAAUUAACCAUGUGAACUCUAAGCAAGUUAUUUUACUUUUCUUCAUCUUUUUAUCUUUUGUAAAAUUAGGGGGUUAUUAUGAAUCAUUUCUAACAUCUCUGCUAAUGCCCCAGAUACUGUAAAUGACCCAGAAUGUAAUUGCGGGCAGUGUUAACUUAGCUUCCUAGAAGAUGGGGGAUAUGACUGGGCCUUGAAUAAAAUCCAAGAUUUGGCAGAGUAGAGAGGGAAAGAAUUCAUGAGAUGGGGAGCAGUAGAACAAAGGCUUAGGUGUGAAUAUGUGGCUGUAGUAAAGAGAAAUGGCCUGAUUAUAGCAAUUAUAUGAGGUUUAGUAGAACCAUUUAAGAAAGGUAAAGCCACUUCAUAGAAAUUAUUUUAUCCCUGAAUGAUCUCUCACCACUCCAUUUUGUUUAUGACCUCAGUGGUCGUAAGAGGUAUAUGUGGGGGGUUAAUAAAUGGGGGAACUGAAGCAUGAAGAAUUAAGCAUGUUUGCUCAAAAUCAUACUUGUAGUUUUCUAGGAAGCCAGAAAUAAAAAUCAGGACUCAUGAGCCUUUUCCUUUAGCGAAGUUCUAGAUAAAUUCCAGAGUUCAGCAGUUUGCUUAAUGUAUUGGUUUCCUAUUGCUUAUAACAUCACCCCAAACUUACUAGCUUAAAACAAACACACUUAUUAGCUCAUAGUUCUGUUGGUCAGAAGUUUGGCAUGGAUUGUGUAUCUGGGAUCUCAGAAUAUCACAAGGCUGAAAUCAAAAUGUCAGGCUGGGCUAAGUUCUCACCUGGAGGCUCUGGGGGAAAAUCUGCCUCCAGGUUCAUUCAAAUUGUUUGCCAAAUUCAGUUCCUUGCAGUUAUAGGGCUGAGGUUCCUAUUUCUUUGCUGUCUGUCACCGGGGAACUGUUCUCAGUACCCAGAGGCUGCCUAUAAUCUGCCUUUUGGCC
RNAcentral lists this long non-coding RNA (1219 nucleotides) under Homo sapiens (human). RNAcentral's name for it is "HSALNT0329895". Lineage: Eukaryota; Metazoa; Chordata; Mammalia; Primates; Hominidae. The record is from RNAcentral.